GGGUCAGUAGGUUGGUCGUGCCACCGGUACGUACUGGCCUCACUGAUUCCUCCUUCCUGAAGAACCGUAAUGCCAUUAAUUUGGUGUUGCGGGGAAACAGGACUGUUACUUUGAAAAAAUUAGAGUGUUUAAAACAAGCUAACGCUUGAAUACAUUAGCAUGGAAUAAUGAAAUAGGACGAUCGAUCCUAUUUUGUUGGUUUCUAGGAUUGACGUA
This 216-nucleotide ribosomal RNA is filed under the name Glomeromycotina sp. RNAcentral describes it as "partial small subunit ribosomal RNA". The stretch from base 40 to 216 matches the Rfam family "Eukaryotic small subunit ribosomal RNA", at positions 686 to 864 of the family's 1831-position model. Lineage: Eukaryota; Fungi; Glomeromycota. The record is from RNAcentral.